UGACCUCAAAUCAGGUAGGACUACCCGCUGAACUUAAGCAUAUCAAUAAGCGGAGGAAAAGAAACUAACAAGGAUUCCCCUAGUAACUGCGAGUGAAGCGGGAAAAGCUCAAAUUUAAAAUCUGGCGGUCUUUUGGCCGUCCGAGUUGUAAUCUAGAGAAGUGUUAUCCGCGCUGGACCGUGUACAAGUCUCCUGGAAUGGAGCAUCAUAGAGGGUGAGAAUCCCGUCUUUGACAUGGACUGCCAGGGCUUUUGUGAUGCGCUCUCAAAGAGUCGAGUUGUUUGGGAAUGCAGCUCAAAAUGGGUGGUAAAUUCCAUCUAAAGCUAAAUAUUGGCGAGAGACCGAUAGCGAACAAGUACCGUGAGGGAAAGAUGAAAAGAACUUUGGAAAGAGAGUUAAACAGUACGUGAAAUUGCUGAAAGGGAAACGCUUGAAGUCAGUCGCGUCGUCCAGGGAUCAACCUUGCUUUUGCUUGGUGCACUUUCUGGUCUGACGGGUCAGCAUCAAUUUUGAUCAUAUAUUGGAAAAAGAUUGAGGGAAUGUGGCAUCCUCGGAUGUGUUUAUAGCCCUUGGUCAAAUACAAUGGUUGGGAUUGAGGAACCUCAGCACGCCGCAAGGCCCGGGUGU
RNAcentral lists this ribosomal RNA (627 nucleotides) under Cortinarius (Telamonia) sp. PK3041. RNAcentral's name for it is "eukaryotic LSU rRNA". It matches the Rfam family "Eukaryotic large subunit ribosomal RNA", at positions 1 to 626 of the family's 3401-position model. The record is from RNAcentral. Lineage: Eukaryota; Fungi; Basidiomycota; Agaricomycetes; Agaricales; Cortinariaceae.